UACGGAAGGGGCUAGCGUUGUUCGGAAUUACUGGGCGUAAAGAGCGCGUAGGCGGCUUGCCAAGUUGGGGGUGAAAUCCCGGAGCUCAACUCCGGAACUGCCUUCAAAACUGGCAAGCUCGAGUCCGGAAGAGGGGCGUGGAAUUCCCAGUGUAGAGGUGAAAUUCGUAGAGAUUGGGAAGAACACCGGUGGCGAAGGCGGCGCCCUGGUCCGGUACUGACGCUGAGGCGCGAAAGCGUGGGGAGCAAACAGG
RNAcentral lists this ribosomal RNA (253 nucleotides) under uncultured bacterium. RNAcentral's name for it is "partial 16S ribosomal RNA". It matches the Rfam family "Bacterial small subunit ribosomal RNA", at positions 524 to 776 of the family's 1533-position model. The record is from RNAcentral.